AGCGAUAUAGUGUAACGGUUAGCACAACAGCCUCAUGACCUGUUAGAUUCGGUUCGAUUCCAGUAUUCGCUA
RNAcentral lists this transfer RNA (72 nucleotides) under Ganoderma lucidum. RNAcentral describes it as "tRNA-Met". It matches the Rfam family "tRNA". Rfam says of the family: Transfer RNA (tRNA) molecules are approximately 80 nucleotides in length. Their secondary structure includes four short double-helical elements and three loops (D, anti-codon, and T loops). The record is from RNAcentral. Lineage: Eukaryota; Fungi; Basidiomycota; Agaricomycetes; Polyporales; Polyporaceae. RNAcentral also lists the same sequence under 13 other names.